ACCACAUAUUAAUUUAUUACUGUAAUUUUUUUCUGCUUUUUGAUUAAAUAUCAAAUACUUAUUAUAGAUUGCCCAAUGAUUAUGUCCAAAGGGAACAAUGGGUUUCAUUAAUGGAAAUCAACACAUUUAAAAAGAACAUAUUUGUUUGUUCAGAUCACAUCCUUAGAAGUGAUAUAAGGGAGAUAAUAUUAUCAGUAGCCAGACUUUAUUAAAAAAAUCAGCUCUACCUCAAAGGUAAUUUUUUUAAAUAUAUUUUUCUAGUAUAUUUAUAGGUAUGAGUAUAUUUUACCUUAGAAUUAUUGAUAAAGGUUUGCAUGCUUUUAUUUACUACAUUAAGUAAGCUAAAAAAACAACCUUUUAAAACUUGUGCUUGGGCUAUGUUGUAAAACAUACAGCUUCUUCACAAAAAGUAUUAGUGUUACUCAUAUAAGAUUUAUUUAUACCUAAUACUUAUUAAAUUAGGUAUGUGUGUAAAACUAUUUUUUUACUAGGAUUUCUGAUGCACUGGUUAAAAAAAAACACAGCAGCCAAUAAUUCAGUUAAUUUACCAAGUGAUUUACCCUUCAAAGCUACAGGGGUAGCUUUCCUGAAGAGUGCAAAAACUUCUUUAGCUUUCAAAAUGGUAUAUAGUACAAACAGUGAAGCUAAUAUAGACACAUCUGAUCAUUCAUCAUCAACAAUAACUGCAUCUGAGAAUUAUAGUUCUACAGUAACCGUGGAGUCUAGGUCAACAAUUACUAUUUCUCAUCCAAGCCGUUUGUUUAACUGCUACACAUUCCCUGACUCUGCCAAGGAAAAGGGUAAAAUCAAAAUGAUAUCCUGAGGACCUAAGCACUGAUGAUUCCACCGUUUCAAGAGCUUAAUCACUUGUCACCAGAUUAUGGAAAAAAAAUAAAGAACAAAAAAUUAAAAUUCGAAGAUUGCAACAAGCAAAUUUGCGCCAAAGAAAUUAAAUUAGAUGUCUCAAGUCAUUAUUAAAAUACUAACAUAAAAUAAUAACAUGAUUUUAUGGAAAAGCCCAACAUACUACAUAUUUUAUUUGACUUGUA
Molecule: long non-coding RNA, 1049 nt
Organism: Anthonomus grandis grandis
Lineage: Eukaryota; Metazoa; Arthropoda; Insecta; Coleoptera; Curculionidae
Exons: 3
Source: RefSeq, a predicted model, not a curated record